AGGAAACGAGUGCACCAAAGAGCUUCCCUCCCCAAGCACCCAACCAGAGCUAUAAAUACAAACCUUACCGCAUCAAACGCAGCAACUUGUUACAGCCUAACCACAUAAAAUCUCCGUCGAUCCACCACACCCUGCAAUGGCGUCCGCGCUCACCAACGUGAGCCUGUCUACCUUCGCGCCCACGGCCAGGGGCGACGUCCUCGCCAGGCCUCAGGUGGCCGCCGCCCGCGUCACCUUCCCGACGGCGUACCGUGGCAGCGGUGCCCUCUCCUGCAGGGCGGGUGGGCCGGCCACGCCGCCGGGCAUCUCCGACAAGAUGUCGGACAGCAUCAA
RNAcentral lists this long non-coding RNA (333 nucleotides) under Triticum aestivum (bread wheat). RNAcentral describes it as "long non-coding RNA (TAES_LNC021732)". The record is from RNAcentral. Lineage: Eukaryota; Viridiplantae; Streptophyta; Magnoliopsida; Poales; Poaceae.